AGAACGAACGCUGGCGGCAUGCCUAACACAUGCAAGUCGAACGUGAUCCGGGGCUUGCUCCGGUGAAAGUGGCGGACGGGUGAGUAACGCGUGGGAACCUGCCCAGUGGUCGGGGAUAACUGCGGGAAACUGCAGCUAAUACCCGGUAAGCCCUAUGGGGGAAAGAUUUAUCGCCAUUGGAGGGGCCCGCGUCGGAUUAGGUAGUUGGUGGGGUAAAGGCCUACCAAGCCUUCGAUCCGUAGCUGGUCUGAGAGGAUGAUCAGCCACACUGGGACUGAGAUACGGCCCAGACUCCUACGGGAGGCAGCAGUGGGGAAUAUUGGACAAUGGGCGCAAGCCUGAUCCAGCAAUGCCGCGUGAGUGAAGAAGGCCUUAGGGUUGUAAAGCUCUUUCGGCGGGGACGAUGAUGACGGUACCCGCAGAAGAAGCCCCGGCUAACUCCGUGCCAGCAGCCGC
Molecule: ribosomal RNA, 456 nt
Filed under: uncultured bacterium
Lineage: Bacteria
Description: SSU rRNA
Rfam family: Bacterial small subunit ribosomal RNA
Source: RNAcentral